GAGGCGAAUUCGGUGAUCCUCUGCUGCCAAGAAAAGCCUCUAGCGAGCACACACACGGCCCGUACCCCAAACCGACACAGGUGGUCAGGUAGAGCAUACCAAGGCGUACGAGAUAACUAUGGUUAAGGAACUCGGCAAAAUGCCCCCGUAACUUCGGGAGAAGGGGGACCGGAAUAUCGUGAACACCCUUGCGGUGGGAGCGGGAUCCGGUCGCAGAAACCAGUGAGGAGCGACUGUUUACUAAAAACACAGGUCCGUGCGAAGUCGCAAGACGAUGUAUACGGACUGACGCCUGCCCGGUGCUGGAAGGUUAAGAGGACCCGUUAACCCGCAAGGGUGAAGCGGAGAAUUUAAGCCCCAGUAAACGGCGGUGGUAACUAUAACCAUCCUAAGGUAGCGAAAUUCCUUGUCGGGUAAGUUCCGACCUGCACGAAUGGCGUAACGACUUCUCAACUGUCUCAACCAUAGACUCGGCGAAAUUGCACUACGAGUAAAGAUGCUCGUUACGCGCGGCAGGACGAAAAGACCCCGGGACCUUCACUACAACUUGGUAUUGAUGUUCGGUACGGUUUGUGUAGGAUAGGUGGGAGACUGUGAAACCUCGACGCCAGUUGGGGCGGAGUCGUUGUUGAAAUACCACUCUGAUCGUAUUGGGCAUCUAACCUCGAACCCUGAAUCGGGUUUAGGGACAGUGCCUGGCGGGUAGUUUAACUGGGGCGGUUGCCUCCUAAAAUGUAACGGAGGCGCCCAAAGGUUCCCUCAACCUGGACGGCAAUCAGGUGGCGAGUGUAAAUGCACAAGGGAGCUUGACUGCGAGACUUACAAGUCAAGCAGGGACGAAAGUCGGGAUUAGUGAUCCGGCACCCCCGAGUGGAAGGGGUGUCGCUCAACGGAUAAAAGGUACCCCGGGGAUAACAGGCUGAUCUUCCCCAAGAGUCCAUAUCGACGGGAUGGUUUGGCACCUCGAUGUCGGCUCGUCGCAUCCUGGGGCUGGAGCAGGUCCCAAGGGUUGGGCUGUUCGCCCAUUAAAGCGGCACGCGAGCUGGGUUUAGAACGUCGUGAGACAGUUCGGUCUCUAUCCGCCGCGCGCGUCAGAAACUUGAGGAAACCUGUCCCUAGUACGAGAGGACCGGGACGGACGAACCUCUGGUGCACCAGUUGUCCCGCCAGGGGCACCGCUGGAUAGCCACGUUCGGUCAGGAUAACCGCUGAAAGCAUCUAAGCGGGAAACCUUCUCCAAGAUCAGGUUUCUCACCCACUUGGUGGGAUAAGGCCCCCCGCAGAACACGGGUUCAAUAGGUCAGACCUGGAAGCUCAGUAAUGGGUGUAGGGAACUGGUGCUAACCGGCCGAAAACUUACAACA
RNAcentral lists this ribosomal RNA (1364 nucleotides) under Mycobacterium tuberculosis. RNAcentral describes it as "bacterial LSU rRNA". It matches the Rfam family "Bacterial large subunit ribosomal RNA", at positions 1582 to 2925 of the family's 2925-position model. The record is from RNAcentral. Lineage: Bacteria; Bacillati; Actinomycetota; Actinomycetes; Mycobacteriales; Mycobacteriaceae.